Molecule: ribosomal RNA, 253 nt
Filed under: uncultured bacterium
Lineage: Bacteria
Description: partial 16S ribosomal RNA
Rfam family: Bacterial small subunit ribosomal RNA
Source: RNAcentral
UACGUAGGGGGCAAGCGUUGUCCGGAAUCAUUGGGCGUAAAGAGCGUGUAGGCGGCCCGGUAAGUCCGCUGUAAAAGUCAAAGGCUCAACCUUUGAAUGUCAGUGGAUACUGCCGGGCUAGAGUCUGGAAGAGGCGAGUGGAACUCCUGGUGUAGCGGUGAAAUGCGCAGAUAUCAGGAGGAACACCGAUGGCGAAGGCAGCUCGCUGGGACGGUACUGACGCUGAGACGCGAAAGCGUGGGGAGCAAACAGG